This 658-nucleotide ribosomal RNA is filed under the name uncultured bacterium. RNAcentral describes it as "bacterial SSU rRNA". It matches the Rfam family "Bacterial small subunit ribosomal RNA", at positions 188 to 848 of the family's 1533-position model. The record is from RNAcentral.
GCAUCUUCUUGGGUUAAAAACUCCGGCGGUUAAAGAUGGGCAUGCGUUGUAUUAGCUAGUUGGUGAGGUAACGGCUCACCAAGGCAACGAUACAUAGGGGGACUGAGAGGUUAACCCCCCACAUUGGUACUGAGACACGGACCAAACUCCUACGGGAGGCAGCAGUGAGGAAUAUUGGUCAAUGGACGCAAGUCUGAACCAGCCAUGCCGCGUGCAGGAAGACGGCUCUAUGAGUUGUAAACUGCUUUUGUACUAGGGUAAACGCUUCUACGUGUAGGAGCCUGAAAGUAUAGUACGAAUAAGGAUCGGCUAACUCCGUGCCAGCAGCCGCGGUAAUACGGAGGAUCCAAGCGUUAUCCGGAUUUAUUGGGUUUAAAGGGUGCGUAGGCGGUUUGAUAAGUUAGAGGUGAAAUACCGGGGCUCAACUCCGGAACUGCCUCUAAUACUGUUGAACUAGAGAGUAGUUGCGGUAGGCGGAAUGUAUGGUGUAGCGGUGAAAUGCUUAGAGAUCAUACAGAACACCGAUUGCGAAGGCAGCUUACCAAACUAUAUCUGACGUUGAGGCACGAAAGCGUGGGGAGCAAACAGGAUUAGAUACCCUGGUAGUCCACGCAGUAAACGAUGAUAACUCGUUGUCGGCGAUACACAGUCGGUGACU